GUAGGUGAACCUGCGGAAGGAUCAUUACCAAUUGCCGGCGCGCAAGCGCCGACUCACACCCGUGUCAACCUACCUUUGUUGCUUUGGCAGGCCGCGGCCUCCGCUGCGGGCUCACGCUCGCACGUGCCUGCCAGAGGCCCAACUCUUGAAUUUAGUGAUGUCUGAGUACUAUUAAAUAGUUAAAACUUUCAACAACGGAUCUCUUGGUUCUG
Molecule: unclassified non-coding RNA, 212 nt
Filed under: rhizosphere metagenome
Description: partial ribosomal RNA internal transcribed spacer region
Source: RNAcentral